RNAcentral lists this long non-coding RNA (1775 nucleotides) under Nicotiana tabacum (common tobacco). RNAcentral's name for it is "long non-coding RNA (NTAB_LNC017419)". Lineage: Eukaryota; Viridiplantae; Streptophyta; Magnoliopsida; Solanales; Solanaceae. The record is from RNAcentral.
UUCAAAUGACAGUAUUAAUGAAAGACAACAGAAGGUGACUCCGACGCUUGCGAGCGGAAUGACAGGUAUACCUUAAAGUCUCCUCAGCAACUCAAACAGCUAUCUAACGUUCGGCACGCUCCGAGGUACCUAGAUUUGCAUAAAAAUAUGAAGAAGCAUAAUGAGUACACCGCAACGGUACCCAGUAUGUAUCAAGACUAACCUCGAUGGAGUAGUUAUGAGGUACAAGUCAAGACACUCAUUAGACAUAAAAAGCUAACAAUAGAAAGAAUAUUAAUGUAAAUCUAACAAUAGAAAGAAUAUUAAUAUAAAUCUAACAAUAGAAAGAAUACUAAUAUAAAAGAACUCAGAUAGUUAGUAGUUUCAUACCCAACUUCACACAUUUUCUAAUCAAAAAGCCAAUUCAUUUAUGAAAUUUCUUAGUGUAGGUAAUGAAAUAAGAUUCCAGUGUUCAAACCCAAAACUUAGUACACUAUGAAAAGACAGUUUCAGCUUUUUCUUUCACUUGCACUCUAGAACACCAUUUCAAGCAGAAUUCUACCUAGACUUGAGCUAAUGUCAUAUAUAUAAAUCUUGGGUUCUAACUAAGCAAAUCACCUAAAGCAUAAUGAGUAUAAUGAAACAUAGGUUUUCAAACACCAUGCUCAUUCCCUUAUAAAAAAUUUAAGACACUACUACAAGCUCCUUUAAAUUGUGAAAUAGACAUCUCCAGGUCUCAAAAUUUUCAAUAAUCUAGCAUAUGUUGAUCAGGAUAACUUGGAAUUAUUCAUUCUAACAGAUUGAAUAACAACUUUGAAUAUUAUUAGAACGUAAAUAAACAACCUUAUCUACUUGAUCAAAUAACAAACCCUAUUAUAUUAGUUCCCGUGACAUCAAAAUCUUAAUGAAUAUUUCAGCACUUAGUUUAGUACUACUUACAGUAUUUUUUUUCUACCAUUUGAGCUAAAGUUUGGAGAUUCCUGCAAUAGGGGAAAAAAAGAAAAGAAAAAAGAAAACCACUAAUUAGGCCCCUCAAAAUUAAAAGAUGAUCUAAAAUUGAGUCGGUCAUGAUAUCAUUGCAAGCUUUAUCUUCUGUAUAAAAUGAGAGACUUUAUGUAGACAUUUCUGCACCUAAAUAUUAGCAAGAAUGCAAUAUUUGAAGGCUCAUUACAGUUCUAGUAUUGGAAGAAAAAUAAAUAUGUAAAUGUGUCAAUAAAGAAAAACAUAAAUCUACAACUUAGACAUUCGUAUGUAUAAAAAGCCAUAAACAACAGCCCAUGAGCACUAGUAAGAAGUAAUGUCCAACAUCCAUGAGGCGUCAAAUUUAUUGGCAAAUGAAAUAAGGUACAACAAUACCUGAAAUUCAAUAUGCAUAGGAUCUUGGACGUACUUCUCCAAAUAAAUGCCAUCAUUUACUAAUGCAAUUGUUGCCUCACUGUUACCUUAAUGUAUAGUGAAAAGUAAACCAAAGUAAAUCGGGUAAUAGUGUGUGACUACAAAGCAAGAAAAAAGACUUGCAAAAGGAUAUUGCUUCAAUUUAUAAAAGAGUAAGUGAUUACCAUAUACAAAUGUCUUUUAUAUAAUUAACUCAAACAGAUAUCUUACUGUAACUUGGAACAUGUCUUAAAGGAAGUUCUUCAAGAAAACAAGUCCGAUUUUAUAAAACUUUCUUAAUAGUGUCAUGAAGAUUCACAAACAAGCCAGUUGAUAGAUUUCUUCAAAGAGCUCAUAAAUAAUUAAAUCAGAGCUUUUCGCAGGAAAUCAGUUUAGAACUAAGUAAUAAAAGUGAAAUGGAC